This 80-nucleotide microRNA precursor is filed under the name Mus musculus (house mouse). Its description in RNAcentral is "Mmu-Mir-448_pre stem-loop". Lineage: Eukaryota; Metazoa; Chordata; Mammalia; Rodentia; Muridae. RNAcentral also lists the same sequence under 1 other name. The record is from RNAcentral.
GAACAUCCUGCAUAGUGCUGCCAGGAAAUCCCUACUUCAUACUAAGAGGGGGCUGGCUGGUUGCAUAUGUAGGAUGUCCC